Molecule: non-coding RNA, 30 nt
Filed under: Mus musculus (house mouse)
Lineage: Eukaryota; Metazoa; Chordata; Mammalia; Rodentia; Muridae
Source: RNAcentral
UGCCAGUUGACUCUGCCUGACAGGCUUUCA